GUGCCCUAGCGUGUUGUCUUGGAAAUGGUUGUGUUUCCUAGAAGAACACAUGUGAGUAGGCAUGGUCAUGUUGGAUUGUUCUCACAAUGGUAAUCUGACAGAGGUUAGGGCGAAAUCCCACAUGAGGAUGUAUGUUGGUGUUGCUUUACUUCUUGGAGGUUGUCGAUAGUGAUACCCGAUUAUGAUAUUUGUAGACAUAGGGUUUGUAUGGUGCCAAGGUAUUUAUGAGGUUUCAACAAACAUAAAUCAAAGAUAUUUUUAUAUAGGUUUAGACCCUCUGAUGACGAGUAAUAACGUUACUACUGUUUAUGUAGUUUAUAUGUAUUUGGGGAGGACCACACCGAGUACAAGGUGGGAGACUGAACUUAGUGGCUAGCAAUGAGGUGGCUCCUUUGAUCUUGACUCAACGGGGUUUAUAGUCCAGUUAUAAAUAUGACAUACCCUAUAAUACCGCACUAACCUAUAUAUAGGAAUACAACAUACCCUGUUAACUACAAACGAGUAUCAUCACACUCUGAAAUGGAUACGAUAAGAAAUGAGAGUUGUAUUCGGAUAUGACGGGCAAUCUAGUCCAAUCCGAGUACAUAUAUGCUUACGUAGUGUACUUCGCAAGGCUUUCCCUAAACCCUGUUUAGAAAGGAGGGGAGAUUCUACUGUAUAAAUACAAGUACCUUGUGAGAGAGGAGGGAAUCAAGUUGUAAGGCAUACACAAGCCACGCGAGAUCAAGAGUUCAAAAGCAACUUUAUUAGUACCCACCUAAUCCAAUCUUGAUGACAUCUAGCUAUAGGAUAGUAUAGCCAAGUAGAUAGGUCCCAUUCUUGUAAUAG
RNAcentral lists this long non-coding RNA (828 nucleotides) under Oryza brachyantha (malo sina). RNAcentral describes it as "long non-coding RNA (OBRA_LNC001632)". Lineage: Eukaryota; Viridiplantae; Streptophyta; Magnoliopsida; Poales; Poaceae. The record is from RNAcentral.